CGGACGGGUGAGUAAUGAAUCGCUAAUGUACCCCGGACUCCGGGAUAGCCGGCCGAAAGGCCGGGUAAUACCGGGUAAGACCACGGUCAGGCAUCUGACUGUGCUCAAAGGUCCGCCGGUCCGGGAGCAGGCGAUUUCGUAUCAGCUAGUUGGUGCGGGUAACGGCCCACCAAGGCGAUGACGCGUAACUGGUCUGAGAGGACGGCCAGUCACAUCGGGACUGAGACACUGCCCGG
This 236-nucleotide ribosomal RNA is filed under the name uncultured bacterium. Its description in RNAcentral is "partial 16S ribosomal RNA". It matches the Rfam family "Bacterial small subunit ribosomal RNA", at positions 99 to 334 of the family's 1533-position model. The record is from RNAcentral.